GCCGGAGUGGCGGAAUAGGCAGACGCACGGGACUUAAAAUCCCGGGGGCCUCACGGCCCGUGCCGGUUCGACCCCGGCCUCCGGCA
This is a transfer RNA of 86 nucleotides. It matches the Rfam family "tRNA". From Rfam's summary of the family: Transfer RNA (tRNA) molecules are approximately 80 nucleotides in length.